UACGGAGGAUGCAAGUGUUAUCCGGAUUCAUUGGGUUUAAAGGGUGCGUAGGCGGAAUAUUAAGUCAGUGAUGAAAUCCUGCAGCUUAACUGUAGAACUGUUAUUGAUACUGGUAUUCUUGAAUGCAGUUGAGGUAGGCGGAAUGUGUAAUGUAGCGGUGAAAUGCUUAGAUAUUACACAGAACACCGAUUGCGAAGGCAGCUUACUAAGCUGUGAUUGACGCUGAGGCACGAAAGCGUGGGGAGCAAACAGGAUUAGAUACCCCCGUA
Molecule: ribosomal RNA, 269 nt
Filed under: uncultured prokaryote
Description: partial 16S ribosomal RNA
Rfam family: Bacterial small subunit ribosomal RNA
Source: RNAcentral